GUGAGGAAUAUUGGACAAUGGGCGCAAGCCUGAUCCAGCCAUGCCGCGUGCAGGAAGACGCAUCUAUGGUGUGUAAACUGCUUUUGUACGGGAAGAAACACUCCCUCGUGAGGGAGCUUGACGGUACCGUAAGAAUAAGGAUCGGCUAACUCCGUGCCAGCAGCCGCGGUAAUACGGAGGAUCCAAGCGUUAUCCGGAAUCAUUGGGUUUAAAGGGUCCGUAGGUGGUUUAAUAAGUCAGUGGUGAAAGCCCAUCGCUCAACGAUGGAACGGCCAUUGAUACUGUUAGACUUGAAUUACAAGGAAGUAACUAGAAUAUGUAGUGUAGCGGUGAAAUGCUUAGAUAUUACAUGGAAUACCAAUUGCGAAGGCAGGUUACUACUUGUGGAUUGACGCUGAUGGACGAAAGCGUGGGGAGCGAACAGGAUUAGAAACCCGUGUAGUCC
Molecule: ribosomal RNA, 445 nt
Filed under: uncultured bacterium
Lineage: Bacteria
Description: partial 16S ribosomal RNA
Rfam family: Bacterial small subunit ribosomal RNA
Source: RNAcentral